GACGAACGCUGGCGGCGUGCCUAAUACAUGCAAGUAGAACGCUGAAGAGAGGAGCUUGCUCUUCUUGGAUGAGUUGCGAACGGGUGAGUAACGCGUAGGUAACCUGCCUUGUAGCGGGGGAUAACUAUUGGAAACGAUAGCUAAUACCGCAUAACAAUGGAUGACACAUGUCAUUUAUUUGAAAGGGGCAAUUGCUCCACUACAAGAUGGACCUGCGUUGUAUUAGCUAGUAGGUGAGGUAAUGGCUCACCUAGGCGACGAUACAUAGCCGACCUGAGAGGGGGAUCGGCCACACUGGGACUGGGGCACGGCCCAGACUCCUACGGGAGGCAGCAGUAGGGAAUCUUCGGCAAUGGGGGCAACCCUGACCGAGCAACGCCGCGUGAGUGAAGAAGGUUUUCGGAUCGUAAAGCUCUGUUGUAAGUCAAGAACGGGUGUGAGAGUGGAAAGUUCACACUGUGACGGUAGCUUAACAGAAAGGGACGGCUAACUACGUG
This 497-nucleotide ribosomal RNA is filed under the name uncultured bacterium. RNAcentral describes it as "partial 16S ribosomal RNA". It matches the Rfam family "Bacterial small subunit ribosomal RNA", at positions 28 to 507 of the family's 1533-position model. The record is from RNAcentral.